Molecule: non-coding RNA, 420 nt
Organism: Pelobates cultripes (western spadefoot toad)
Lineage: Eukaryota; Metazoa; Chordata; Amphibia; Anura; Pelobatidae
Source: the annotation of a GenBank genome assembly
CUUAUUUUCCAUAUUCGUAACCAGAUAGUCACUUCGUCUCCAUGAUCUGCUAGGGUUUGGUUGGAAAGAUUCCAGUAUAUGUAACGCUGCUAUAGGGGCAUGAUCUGACCAGGUCAGGUCUAAAAUAUUAGACCUGAGAAUGUAUGGAACAUUAUGCUCACCUGUCAAAAACCUGUCAAUUCUAGAAUACAUAUUAUAAGGUGAUGAGUGGUAGGUGUAGUCCUUCUUUCCUUUAUGUUGGAUCCGCGCAAAUAAGCCCUGAGAAAAAAUUAAUUUGGAACACCAACUAGCCAAUUUUGUACUAUUAUAAUUUUUAAAAGUGUGAUCACUAUCUCUAGCAAUAUCUUGAUCACAAUCAAAUACAAAAUUCAUAUCUCCACCAAUUAUAAUCUACAUCUGAUAUCCUUGGAAACGUUUGUG